Molecule: ribosomal RNA, 252 nt
Filed under: uncultured bacterium
Lineage: Bacteria
Description: partial 16S ribosomal RNA
Rfam family: Bacterial small subunit ribosomal RNA
Source: RNAcentral
UACGUAGGGGGCAAGCGUUGUCCGGAAUUAUUGGGCGUAAAGCGCGCGCAGGCGGCCAUUUAAGUUGGGUGUAUAAGCCCGGGGCUCAACCCCGGACCGCACCGAAAACUGGGUGGCUUGAGUGCGGGAGAGGAAAGUGGAAUUCCACGUGUAGCGGUGAAAUGCGUAGAUAUGUGGAGGAACACCAGUGGCGAAGGCGACUUUCUGGACCGUAACUGACGCUGAGGCGCGAAAGCGUGGGGAGCAAACAGG